Molecule: ribosomal RNA, 303 nt
Filed under: uncultured bacterium
Lineage: Bacteria
Description: bacterial SSU rRNA
Rfam family: Bacterial small subunit ribosomal RNA
Source: RNAcentral
UGGGGAAUAUUGGGCAAUGGACGCAAGUCUGACCCAGCAACGCCGCGUGAAGGAAGAAGGCUUUCGGGUUGUAAACUUCUUUUAAGGGGGAAGAGCAGAAGACGGUACCCCUUGAAUAAGCCACGGCUAACUACGUGCCAGCAGCCGCGGUAAUACGUAGGUGGCAAGCGUUGUCCGGAUUUACUGGGUGUAAAGGGCGUGCAGCCGGAGAGACAAGUCAGAUGUGAAAUCCGCAGGCUCAACCUGCGAACUGCAUUUGAAACUGUUUCCCUUGAGUAUCGGAGAGGUCAUCGGAAUUCCUAG